UGCCCUUUAAGGGUUAGGACGGCACCCUAUGACACUUUUUACGACAUUUCGGGUGAGUUACGAUAGCGACCCUGUGAGAGUCGUGGGCUGAGACGGCCAGGGCUGCAGUGUGAACUAUUUCCUUUCUCUUGGAUUGAAGACCGUUUUGGAUUUCAUUUCAUUUCAUGGACUGACAGAAGGACUCAAACUAACAGAAAACGGUACGAAGGACAUCAUGUAGAUGGCCAUCUGUCAGUCUGGAUCUCAGCUUGGAUUUGUUGAUGGCCAUGGUGGAGAAGGUCUUCUCACAAAUGUAGGGUGUGAGAGACUGGUCGUGUUCUGAGAGACUGUGCCGAGGAACUCACAGAUGUCUUCAUGGACAUCUUCAACACCUCACUGGGCUGUUGUCCCCUCCUGCCACAAAGCCACCACCAUCAUCCCGAUGAAGUCGUCUCCCUCCUGCUUCAAUGACUUCCGCCUGGUGGCACUGACUCCCACCCUUAUGAAGUGCUUCGAGCGGCUAGUCAUGCAGCACAUCAAGUCUUCCCUCCUCACCCUGGACCCUUUCCAGUUUGUGUAUCGGUCCAACCGCUCGACCGAUGAUCCCAUCUCCACUGCCUUCCACUCAAUCCUCACCCAUUUGGAGACAAGAGACUCACACGUUAGAAUGCUGUUCAUAGACUUCACCUCAGCAUUCAAUACAAUCAUCCCUCAGCAGCUCAUUCACAAACUGGACCAGCUGGGGCUCAACACCUCUCUGUGCAACUGGCUGCUGGACUUCCUGACGGGGAGACCACAGGCGGUUUGGGUCGGCAGCAACACCUUCAGCACCAUCACGCUGAACACAGAGGGCCCCCAAGGAUGUGUGCUGAGCCCCCACCUCUUCACCCUGAUGACCCACGACUGCACACCAACAUUCAGCUCCAACCUCUUCAUCAAGUUUGCGGAUGACACGAUUGUGGUAGGUCUGAUUGACAACGAUAAUGAGACAAUCUACAGGAGUGUGGUGAGCCGCCUGGCCGUGUGGUGCAAAGACAACAAUCUCUGCCUGGAGAAGAUGAAGGAGAUUGUUGUGGACUUCAGGAGACUGCACACCCAGCAUGCUCCUCUGACCAUCAACCAUCAACGGUGCUGCAGUGGAGAGGGUGAACAGCACCAAGCUCCUGGGUGUGCACAUCUCCAAAGACUUGUCGUGGAGCAACAACACCAUCACUGGCCAAAAAAGCCCCCAUCAUGUACAGAGGCACCAUCAAGAGCAUCCUGACCAGCUGCAUCACCGUGUGGUACGGCGCCUGCACCGUGUCCUGCCACAAGACUCUGCAGCGCAUCAUGACAGCAGCUGAGAGGAUCAUUGGUGUCUCCCUCCCUUCUGGACAUCUACAACACCCGACUCACCCGUAAAGCCAUCAGGAUUGCAGGUGACCCCACCCACCCAUCUCACAGCCUCUUCAGCCUGCUGCCUCAGAGGAGGAGACUGCAGAGUCUCUGGGCCAAAACCAGCAGGCUUAAGGACAGUUUCAUCCACCAAGCGGUCAGGAGGCUCAGCUCCCUCCCUGCUCUGCCCCUCCUCCCCCUCUGCCUCCUGCCACAGACUUUACCCUGCACACCCCCCUGCCUCCCCUUCAGCAUCUGACAUCAUGUGGGUAGAUUGGAUCAGUAUGACGCAAAGUGGGGCAAAUACUUAAAACUUUUAAAGGACUCCUGAGAGGGGUCACAUAGUGGAGAGAUGAAAAUUUUAGUUAUUUGGAUAAAUAUAUAACAGUGCUUCUUCUUAUUUUCAUUUAGUUAUUUUUAAUUGACCAAAUAUCUAUUUAAUUAAGAGCUUACUUUAUAUUAUAUAUUUUAUAUAUAUAUACACAUACAAUAUUGGAGGUAUUCCUGUUUUUUUUGUGCUAUAGUAUUUCUAUGAACAUAUUUACAUAAACAUAAACAUAUUUUCUAUGUUUCGCUUACACUGAUGCAACUGGUGUAAUGGCUGUACAUGAAGAAGCACAGUGGUAGUUGUUGGCAACCAGAGAUCAGCAUGAAUGGUGGUGGCUUGGGAGGGGUUUGUAUGUUAUUGUAUGGUUCAAAUAAUGAAAAUAAAACUUGUUAAUCUCAAAAAGAAUGAUGACAAAAAUGCGUCUUAUUAAAGAAUAACAUGACUGUGCCAUGAGAAACAUUUUAAUCUUCAUCUGGAGUGUCGGCUUGUUACUUUGAAAGAAUCAAAUGUGUUUGUUAUUUUAGCCUUUAAUCUGAAACAACAGCAAAGCUGCUGGAACAUCUGAUCAAAGCAGAAUAAAUCUGAUAUGAAAUCAAUCCGUCAGUUCAGUUCAGGGUUUGUGACUCUGGCUGAGAUGGAGGUGAAAUAUGUGAACCUGAGCUGUGGUUUACUGCUCUCUUCCUGUCACAAACACUGUUUGACAUCUGCUCAUCUGCUGCUUUUUGUUCAGGCUGCAGGGAUCACUUCUCACUGUGGGCACCACUCUUCACACAGGCACAGUAGUAGGUGGCUGAAUGAAGGAGAUUAACUG
RNA transcript from Scatophagus argus, 2492 nucleotides. RefSeq lists it as uncharacterized. The transcript has 4 exons. The record is from RefSeq and is a predicted model, not a curated record. NCBI's taxonomy places the organism in Eukaryota, Metazoa, Chordata, Actinopteri, Scatophagidae.